RNAcentral lists this long non-coding RNA (263 nucleotides) under Actinidia chinensis (golden kiwifruit). RNAcentral describes it as "long non-coding RNA (ACHI_LNC003835)". The record is from RNAcentral. Lineage: Eukaryota; Viridiplantae; Streptophyta; Magnoliopsida; Ericales; Actinidiaceae.
UUUUAAUAGCAUUAUCUUUGAAGUUAUUUAGUUUCCCAUUUGAUAUUCUUCAGUUUUGGAAAACUAAGGCUAGCUUGGUUCUCCAAUUUAUUUACUUUCCUAUUUUUGUUUUAGGCAAGUUUUGAUAUUUUUAAUGUUUUCUUUUAACUAGUUUAUAGUAGCCCUAUUUAAAGGGGGGUUCACUUCAUAUGUAGGCAGUUUUGAUUGGCAAUAUAAUUUGUGAGAAGUUUUCUGAUUCGCUCCAGAAGUGAAUUCUUUACCGC